CAGGGAGACAACAGAAUGUUUAAUAUUAUUUUGUCACCUUAGGUCGAUCGGUACCUCACGUUCUUAAUUUAUUAAGAAUUUUAUUUCCUAAGUUUUUCUAGGUCACACCCAUUAUUUUUCCUGGGCCAUUAGCUCAGGUGGUUAGAGCGCACCCCUGAUAAGGGUGAGGUCCCUGGUUCAAGUCCAGGAUGGCCCAUAUCUCUAUGUUGGGGGUAUAGCUCAGUUGGUAGAGCGCCUGCUUUGCAAGCAGGAUGUCAGCGGUUCGAGUCCGCUUACCUCCACUGAUUACCACCUCUUCCAUAGUUCUGUAAAAAGGAAAUGUUUUGAGUUGUGAUCAAAUUCUGAACGAAUCUAGCUUCCUAAUGAAAUCAUUAAGAUGCUGGACUCAUUGAAUUAAUUUCAUUGUUUUCAGAGAACCUUGACAACUGCAUAGAUUAUUUUUAAAGACAAUAAGCAUCUUUAAUGAUGCAGAUUUAUUAUUUGUGCUAAUGCAUUAAUAACAAUUCUAUUAAGCUGAUGCUUCAAUUACGAAGUUAUU
RNAcentral lists this transfer RNA (538 nucleotides) under uncultured Prochlorococcus sp. RNAcentral describes it as "partial 16S-23S ribosomal RNA intergenic spacer". The stretch from base 209 to 281 matches the Rfam family "tRNA". The record is from RNAcentral. Lineage: Bacteria; Bacillati; Cyanobacteriota; Cyanophyceae; Synechococcales; Prochlorococcaceae.